Molecule: ribosomal RNA, 253 nt
Filed under: uncultured bacterium
Lineage: Bacteria
Description: partial 16S ribosomal RNA
Rfam family: Bacterial small subunit ribosomal RNA
Source: RNAcentral
UACAGAGGGGGCAAGCGUUAUUCGGAAUUAUUGGGCGUAAAGGGCGCGUAGGCGGCUUUUCAAGUGACGGGUGAAAUCCCUCGGCUUAACCGAGGAACUGCCUGUCAGACUGGAAGGCUUGAGACCGGGAGAGGUGAGUGGAAUUCCCAGUGUAGCGGUGAAAUGCGUAGAUAUUGGGAGGAACACCAGUGGCGAAGGCGAGUCCCUGGACAACUCCUGACACUGAGGCACGAAAGCUAGGGGAGCAAACAGG